GAUGAACGCUAGCGGGAGGCCUAACACAUGCAAGCCGAGCGGUAGAUUACUUUCGGGUAAUUGAGAGCGGCGUACGGGUGCGGAACACGUGUGCAACCUGCCUUUAUCAGGGGGAUAGCCUUUCGAAAGGAAGAUUAAUACCCCAUAAUAUAUUAUUCGGCAUCGGGUGAUAUUGAAAACUACGGUGGAUAGAGAUGGGCACGCGCAAGAUUAGCUAGUUGGUGAGGUAACGGCUCACCAAGGCGACGAUCUUUAGGGGGCCUGAGAGGGUGAUCCCCCACACUGGUACUGAGACACGGACCAGACUCCUACGGGAGGCAGCAGUGAGGAAUAUUGGACAAUGGGUGGAAGCCUGAUCCAGCCAUCCCGCGUGCAGGAAGACGGCCCUAUGGGUUGUAAACUGCUUUUAUCUGGGGAUAAACCUACUUACGUGUAAGU
This 438-nucleotide ribosomal RNA is filed under the name uncultured Elizabethkingia sp. Its description in RNAcentral is "bacterial SSU rRNA". It matches the Rfam family "Bacterial small subunit ribosomal RNA", at positions 28 to 466 of the family's 1533-position model. Lineage: Bacteria; Pseudomonadati; Bacteroidota; Flavobacteriia; Flavobacteriales; Weeksellaceae. The record is from RNAcentral.